Molecule: ribosomal RNA, 174 nt
Filed under: uncultured bacterium
Lineage: Bacteria
Description: partial 16S ribosomal RNA
Rfam family: Bacterial small subunit ribosomal RNA
Source: RNAcentral
UACUCCUACGGGAGGCAGCAGUGGGGAAUAUUGGGCAAUGGGCGAAAGCCUGACCCAGCAACGCCGCGUGAGGGAAGAAGGGUUUCGGCUCGUAAACCUCUGUCCUAUGGGACGAAGAAAGUGACGGUACCAUAGGAGGAAGCCCCGGCUAACUACGUGCCAGCAGCCGCGGUA